GCUUAACACAUGCAAGUCGAACGGUUACUUCGGUAGCCGUGGCGGACGGGUGAGUAACACGUAGGUAACCUGCCCUUUGGUUGUGGAAUAACCCAGGGAAACUUGGGAUAAUACCCCUAUUGAUCUUCGGAUUGAAAGCUUUAUGCGCCAGAGGAGGGGCCUGCGGUCCAUUAGCUUGUUGGUAAGGUAACGGCUUACCAAGGCGACGAUGGAUAGCUGGUCUGAGAGGAUGAUCAGCCACACUGGAACUGAGACACGGUCCAGACUCCUACGGGAGGCAGCAGUGGGGAAUAUUGGGCAAUGGGCGAAAGCCUGACCCAGCUACGCCGCGUGAGUGAUAAGGCCUUCGGGUUGUAAAACUCUGUCGUGAGGGAGGAAUUUUGACGUUACCUCACAAGAUAGCACCGGCUAAAUCCG
Molecule: ribosomal RNA, 417 nt
Filed under: uncultured Pseudomonadota bacterium
Lineage: Bacteria; Pseudomonadati; Pseudomonadota
Description: bacterial SSU rRNA
Rfam family: Bacterial small subunit ribosomal RNA
Source: RNAcentral